GUUGAGGACCACUGCUCCCAACUUUACGAACUCCUGGCUUGCACUCCGUCCCAGUGCAUCCUCACUGCGUCUCUACCUCAUGGUUGGAGUACAUGGUAUUAUUCUCACUUUGGGGACGAGAAGACGACGGGGGUCAAAGGAGUCUUCGUUUGCAGGCUGUGCUGUGCGGGAGUACACAACACACAAGCAACUGGCUGCAGUUCGACUCAAAGAUUUAGGAAGAAAAGUUAAUAUUUACAACCUUGGAGGCUACUUAUUGAAGAUGGUGGCAUCACAGGAUGGAAGAAGCCUGGAUCCCUGAGUCAACAUUUAUAAGAGAGACAUCCAACUGGCAAUGGAUUCUGAAAUGAAUGAGAAAUAAACUAUUACUGUCAUUAAGAUCUGGCAGUUCUUUGUUAGAGCCGGU
RNAcentral lists this long non-coding RNA (406 nucleotides) under Equus caballus (horse). RNAcentral's name for it is "lncRNA (ENSECAG00000057399.1)". The record is from RNAcentral. Lineage: Eukaryota; Metazoa; Chordata; Mammalia; Perissodactyla; Equidae.